CUUGGUCAUUUAGAGGAAGUAAAAGUCGUAACAAGGUUUCCGUAGGUGAACCUGCGGAAGGAUCAUUAAAGAGUAAGGGUGCUCAGCGCCCGACCUCCAACCCUUUGUUGUUAAAACUACCUUGUUGCUUUGGCGGGACCGCUCGGUCUCGAGCCGCUGGGGAUUCGUCCCAGGCGAGUGCCCGCCAGAGUUAAACCAAACUCUUGUUAUUAAACCGGUCGUCUGAGUUAAAAUUUUGAAUAAAUCAAAACUUUCAACAACGGAUCUCUUGGUUCUCGCAUCGAUGAAGAACGCAGCGAAAUGCGAUAAGUAAUGUGAAUUGCAGAAUUCAGUGAAUCAUCGAAUCUUUGAACGCACAUUGCGCCCCUUGGUAUUCCGAGGGGCAUGCCUGUUCGAGCGUCAUUACACCACUCAAGCUAUGCUUGGUAUUGGGCGUCGUCCUUAGUUGGGCGCGCCUUAAAGACCUCGGCGAGGCCUCACCGGCUUUAGGCGUAGUAGAAUUUAUUCAAUAACGUCUGUCAAUGGAGAGGACUUCUGCCGACUGAAACCUUUAUUUUUUACAGGUUGACCUCGGAUCAGGUAGGGAUACCCGCUGAACUUAAGCAUAUCAAUAAGCGGAGGA
Molecule: ribosomal RNA, 622 nt
Filed under: uncultured fungus
Lineage: Eukaryota; Fungi
Description: eukaryotic LSU rRNA
Rfam family: 5.8S ribosomal RNA (bases 249-402)
Source: RNAcentral